This 389-nucleotide ribosomal RNA is filed under the name Spizaphilus sp. RCP-2009. Its description in RNAcentral is "partial 12S ribosomal RNA". It matches the Rfam family "Microsporidia small subunit ribosomal RNA". The record is from RNAcentral. Lineage: Eukaryota; Metazoa; Arthropoda; Insecta; Orthoptera; Anostostomatidae.
AUCUUGAAACCCAAAGAAUUUGGCGGUGUUUUAGUCUUUUCAGAGGAAUCUGUCCCAUAAUCGAUAAUUCACGAUUGAGUGUACUUAAUUUUAAGGAUUUGUAUACCGCCGUCAUCRGAAUAUUUUUUUAGAAAAUAAUUUUCUUAAUAUUAAAUUGCGUAAAAUGUCAGGUCAAGGUGCAGUUGAUAAUUAAGAGGAGAUGGAUUACAAUAAUAUAAAUUAUAUGGAUAUUAAUUUUGAUGAUUAAUUGAAGGUGGAUUUGAUAGUAAUUGAAUUAAAAUAAUUUAGUGAUUUUAGCUCUAAAACAUGCACACAUCGCCCGUCGCUCUCAUUAUUAAAUGAGAUAAGUCGUAACAAAGUAGAUGUACUGGAAAGUGUAUCUGGAAUGU